Molecule: long non-coding RNA, 1853 nt
Filed under: Marmota monax (woodchuck)
Lineage: Eukaryota; Metazoa; Chordata; Mammalia; Rodentia; Sciuridae
Source: RNAcentral
CUCUGAUACUCUUCCAUUCUGUUCUGCAGCUUCAAUUAAAAUGACCAUUUUAACAAAUGUUUUCUCUGGAACUGAGAAAUCUAUCUAUCUCAUUUCCCAAGAUUCAGACAAAUCUUCCUUUUCUUAAUACAAGGCAACUAACUUUUGCAGCAGGAAUUCCAUAUAGCAGUAGUCCAUUUAACAUUUGAAAACUUAGGUAUGAUUAUUUGCUUAUUGGAUAUUCCUCUUCCUCAUUAUUCUAGAAUCUCUGUCACUUCAAGGCAAGAUGCUUUUGUUUUCUCACAAUUGAUGCCUGCCUAGAAGAAUACCUAGGGGGUAUUGGGGAAACAAUAAAUAUCCAUGGAAUAAGUGAGCAAACCAGGACAAAGAUCUGGAAAUGAUUUUUGUGUCUUCCGUAAGUUUAAAUGAUCCUCUAGAUAGAGUUAUUGAGUGCAUAUCAAGCCCUGUAUCAAACACUUUUUUGCAUCAUCUAAUUCAAUCCUAACAAUAUCUCAAUAUCUGGUUGCCCUAGUCUUAAGGAUGAGGAUGUGGGUUGAGAUGGAUCACCUCUCUGGGAAGAGGUGGAGCCUCGCAUCCUACUGAACUCUGUGUGGGUAUCACAGUCAUGCUCACCCUGUGCACACUGGUUUCCUACACAUUGUUUGAUCUAGAGGUAUUCUGUGAGCCAAGAAGUUUUAAUAACAUGGAAAAAUAAUAAUACUGAUUUUUAAAAAGGAAAACAAAGGACUCAAAACUGGUCCAGACCAUUUUUAAGCUUUAAUCACCAGACCUAAAAUCAAUAUGAUGAACCAAGGUUUGCCUUAAUUUUUUUUUUAUUUUUAUUUUUAUUUUUUUUAGUUUUUAACUCUCAUCAUCACCUGAAGUACAUCCGGGGCUCUCCUUUACUUAAUAGACAAAGGGACAUACCCCAGGCUUUUCUAAGACCUUCCAAUUGGUAGCUAUCACCUUUGGGAGGUUAUCAACAGCAUUCACUUUACUCCACAGAGUCCCACUUUGGAUAAUGAAUCUGAUCAUCCUCCUCUUUGGGACUCUCUUGACUUCUACCUUCCAGAAAGUUAUGUUGCUUAGGACCCAAACUCUGUUGUUUGCUUGCUAGAAACUUUGUCUUAUUCCCAUACUCUAUUAUAAUUCCUUGCCCCUAAAGCAUGCUUUCUAUUUUCCUUCUCCUUGGCCAACUAUUCUAUUUCACGGUCUGCUUGAUUUCAAGUUCUGUUCCUCACAGGUGACACAUACAUGUUUUAAAUGAAGUCUCUUAAGACACACAGAUUUUUUUUAAAAAUCCAAGGUUCAAUGAUACCAGGUUAUAGCACCUUAACAUGGCGGCUGCCUUGGACACAUCCCCAGUUUUCAGAAAUUGCAGGUUUUUUGCUCUUAUUGCCAAAACUGUGUAAGCCACUUUUCAUAUUUAGGGGAAGGGGUUAUGUCUCCUCUUCUGCAAUAUGGUCAUUUCUUUAGAGUUCCUUCCAUUUUAGGCUCACCAUGGUCUUGCAAAUGCCUUUGGCAAACAUUGAGUUGAUGCUUGGUAAAUCCACUGGUUUAAAGUGUUACCCACUGUUACCCAUGUUUAUUUCUUCUGGAAAGAAAAGUCAGAUUAGCAUAUCACAUUUAUGUUUCUUUCCAACUGGUGCUCUAUUGCAUUCUGUUCUGUGUACUCUAAAGUUUGGUUCCAGUGUAAAUGAGUCAAACAGGCUUCUAUCAUGAUUUCUUAUGACAUAGCAACUCGUUUGACCCAUAGAUAUUUUAUUAUUUUAUUCAGUGUUUUCUAGACAAUAUAAGCAAAACAGUUAACUUAGAAAUUCAAAAGUGGUUGAUCAGAAGAAAAUUUUUUUUAUUAAACAAAAAAUUAUGUGCCU